CGCAGAGGGGGGCGGGAAGGUUGUAGUGCCGCGCGUUGCUCUCCUUUCGCCUGUCCCUGAGUGGUCGCGCCCCCCUCGCGAGCCGCCGCGUGGAGGCUCUGCAGUCCCCAGCGCCUUCCGCUGCCAGGUGAUUGUAAAGUGCUGAUUGGUUGCCACCAGACAUAAUUGAAAACAGAAUAGGAAGAUGGCAGCAAAUCCUUCAGGACAAGAGCAAUUGCCAAAACCCCAACUUGAUAAAGAUGUCAUUGAAAGGAAUGCAGUGCACUGUUGAAAGUGUAAACUACUUAAACCAUGUCAUGUGGUGUCCAACAAAUGUUUUCAAAACAAAAACAGAGUUGCAAUCUUGGCAGAACUGGACAAAGAGAAAAGAAAAUUACUUAUGCAGAACCAGUCUUCAACAAAUCAUCCUGGAGCAAGCAUUGCACUCUCCAGACCUGCUCUGAAUAAGGAUUUCCGAGAUCAUGCUGAGCAGCAGCACAUAGCAGCCCAGCAGAAGGCAGCUUUGCAGCAUGCUCAUGCACAUUCAUCUGGAUACUUCAUAACUCAAGACUCUGCAUUUGGGAAUCUUAUUCUUCCAGUUUUGCCUCGCCUUGACCCAGAGUGAAGAAAAUAUUUGUGAUGAAAAUGACUUCGUAAUACCAAAUGCCAAAGCCUCUAUCAUUCAGUGCUAUACAAACAGUGACUUUCAGAAUUUCAGUGAACUUUUAUAUUUUCUGCUUCUUUAAAAGAAAGGAAUGUAUAAGUAAAAACAAAACAAAACAAAACAAAAAACAAACGGUAACUAGGAUGAUGGAGAGCUUUAGGAGCCGUAUCGUCUGAGGAACUGAUUAUGCUGCCCAUGACAGCAACUGUUCUGAAAUGCUGUUUGAUUUUAACUCUAAAUCAGAUUCUGAAUUGGAUGGUCAUAUAAAAUCACACCCUAGCCCCCAACAGGUUUGACUGACUAUAUCUAUCAUGUCCACACUAGAUUUUCAAGAGUCGUUUAUAGUACUUACCUUAAAGAAAUGAGGGUGCUUUAUAACAUGUGAACCAGUAGCUUAAAUAAGUUACAUUCAUAUUGGGUGUUUGGAGGAUUAGUGUCAGCAUACCUUUUGAUUUUAUAGUUAACAAAAGAACCUGAAAUAUUCUUUGUGAACUUGUAUUUCCCCUAUUUUUCAAUUCUAAACAAAAACUCAAGAUAAGACUAAAUUACCAAACAGUCUUAUCUUUAAUAAACAUACGCCAUAAUAAAUGAUGUGACUAAAUGCUAUUAAAAACAAUUAUAAUAAAUGUGGUGGCUUUUAAAUUCAUACAUGCUCUUAUGGAGCAUUACCAUAUAAAUGGUCUGCUUGUGUGGUUUUAUGGUCCAUUAUUGUUCUAAUUAAAACUUACGCAAGUUGAGAUCACUAUUCAUUCCUUUGAAUAGGAAGGAGUUAAGUUUCUCAACAUGACCAAUCAUCUUUAACAGACUCUGGGGUGCUUAUGUAAAUAUGCAGUCCCCACUACCCUACCCCAGUCCUACAGAAUUAGAAUCUGAUUAAAAAUAAAGUCUGAAGGGCGGUGCCUGUGGCUCAAAGAAGUAGGGCGCCGGCCCCAUAUGCUGGAGGUUGUGGGUUCAAACCCAGCCCCGGCCAAAAACUACAAAAAAAAAAAAAAAAGUCUGAAAAUGAUGGGUUAGAGAAUUGUAUAAUAUAUCUUGUACAGAAUUUUCAUGAUAUAUUUAUAUACUCAUGGUUUUACAGAUUCCUAAAACUUAGAGAUCAUUUAGUUAAAAUAUACAUUUUUCUUUUAAUAGGACUGAAAUUGUAUUUUAUACUAUAUCACAGAUAAACUAUUUUAUAUAACAUUUUAUAACCUCAUUUUGGCCUUGAGUCCUGUAGGACAGAAUUUAAACUUAAAGUUCCAAUUUGGGUUAAUAUUUAGUCAAAAUUCUCUCUUUCAGAGUUUCUUCUCCCCUCCCUUCCCCAGAUAUUUUCACCAACCACACAGCCCCAUCCUACUCAAAUUAAGUGAAGCAGGGGUAGAUGAUUCUAGAAUUAGAUGUGCCAUUUAGAUUCUUUCUCUUGAGAAUUUGAACUGAUUUCCUUCAUUAGGGUGAGUUGGCAGCUGUCUCUAUUACAAUGGUCACCACUGCAGAGAAGAGCCCCCUUCCUCCUGACAGAACUUUUGAGGGGCCUCUGGGUCCUGCCCCGUCUCAGGUCCUUUCAGCUACUCCUUGUGGUCAUUUUCCUGAAUUAAUUUCAGUGUUUCUGUUCUCUGUGAUCUGCAACAUACUGACAUGGUUCUAAUCUCUAGUGAUACUAGGAAGAAAAAACAUUUGUAUAGUUUUUACACUAUUGAAGACUUUACCUAAUGUGUGACUUCUGUAACUCAGGUACAGAGAUCUUUUUACCAGUAAUACCCUUUCUAGUCUCUUAGCCUUUUAAAUAAAUAGCUGUGGCCUAAAUCCUGAAGUCCUGGCUAGGAAGCACUUCCCCCUACUCUUUUGCUUACAAAUUCAGCUUAAUUCCUCUUGUUUUUGGGGACACAAAGCUGUCCUUAUGGAGGUCACAGUGAAGAGGACCCUAUUCUGGUAUACCGAUUGUUUAAAAGUACGCCAGAGAGUAGUAGUGGCACAAGAGAGGCAUCUGGGUGUGACGCUGCAAGUAGGCUUGGGUAGGCUGAGAAGUAUUUGUAUGAUUUAACUGGAAAGGGAGGGAAGAGCUGUUGCAGUUGAAAGUCAAGAUUGCAUAAUCAGGCCAGGCAUGGUGGCUCACGCCUGUAAUCCUAGCACUCUGAGAGGCUGAGGUGGGUGGAUUGCCUGAGCUCACAGGUCCAAGACCAGCCUGAGUAAGAGCGAGACCGCACCUCUCUAAAAAUAGCUGGGCACUGUGGCGAGCACCUGUAGUCCCAGCUACUUGGGAGGCUGAGGCAAAAGAAUCACUUGAGCCCAAAAGUUUGAGGUUGCUAUGAACUAUGACGCCACGGCACUCUACUGAGGGUGACAAAGUAAGACUCUGCCUCAAAAGAAAAAAAAAAAGAUUUCAUAAUCAAAGAGAAGAGGGCGCUGGGCGAAUGCAAGCACCUCAGAAGAUGAUGGAAAGGGUAGCUCUGGGGUGAAGUUGCUUCCCUUGGAUCAUGGGGGAAUUGGGUAGCUCACUUAGUCUCUCUUUGAAUGUUGUUCUAAUCUGUAAAAUGGGAACAGCACACACUGCCUUUGUCAUAGAUUAUCUAGACAGCAUUUUUCAUUGUAUAAGUCUCAACCCAUUGCUGAGACACCAAUAUAGGGCUUAAUGGGGUGUGACCUUUAAAAAAAAAAAAUAGCAUCCAGCACACUGCCCAUAGUGAGAAGUGGUUUUGUUUCCCGAAUCUUCUGUUUCAGUGUGUUCCUACGGGUGUGCAUUGUACUCACUAGGAUGUAAGGUCUUUGAGGGCAAGGAUUUCUUUCCCUCCUUUUCUCUUUCCUUCCUCUUUGUUCACUAUUGUACUCUGCAUAGAAUAGUGUUUGGCAUAUAGCAGGUGUUCAGUAUAUACAUACUGAAGGGAUGACGAAAGGAUAUACAUGGCCUGAGUUGUGAUGUAAUGUGUAAUUUUUUUUUUUUACUGUGAGUCAUGGCAAAAAUGCAUUGAAAGCCACUGCUAAAUAGUACGGAUGACAAUGCUUUGUAUGACCCUGGAAUAAAAAGUGAAAUAACUCCAUAAUUUCAAAGGCAGAUUUUUUUCCCUGAACAAUCUAUAAGCUGUUCAUUAAGUUGUCUCAGUUCUUUGCUUCACUUUGGCAAUAGAAGAUCAGCCAUUAUAUGAGUUUAAGGCCUAUGGAGGCAAGAGAUUUGGCAAAUGUGGUUAUACUGAGAAGAGAAGAUCACCGGAGUGUGAAUUCAUUAGUGCAGUUCAGCCUGCCUGCCAGAAUCCUGUCAGCCAGCACAAGUCCCAUUCUGACAGCUUGAAACUCAACCAAUAUUGACUGAGUGCUGUGCUAUUCACCUCUGUCUGCACGGUGAUGCAUACACAGUAGACACCCACAAAUGUUUUUAAGUGAGCAGAUAACGAACAUGGACAAUGAGGAGGAGGAGGACAUAGUCACUGUCCUCAAUCUGACAACUUAGAGUGAGCAAGACUGGUAAUUAACACUGGAGGCAGCUGGGGGAGAGAAUGUGGACAUGAGCCCGAAAGCGCCCGUGAGGCUCCAUCAGAGAGCAAGUAUUUGAGCUUGGCUUUGAAGAUGAGAUUUCAGCUAGGGAAGAGGACAGCAGCAUACAAAGCAAAGGAAAUCUGCACACAGGCAGGAGGAGAGCCAGCCCAGGGGCUGCUGUGAAGAUCCCGAAGUCCAGUUCAGCUGGAGCAGAGACAGGUUCAUGCAGAUGGAUAAUUAGUAAUGAGGCUAACAGGAGGCUGGAUUCAUACUCCAGAGCAUCUUAAAGUCCAUGGUGAAGCAAAUACCUUUAGCUUGAUAUACAGCUGGGAGCCGUGGAACAUUCUGGGGCAUAGGCAGGUAUAGAGAUGAACCCAUUCAACCCUCAUCAGCUCUUGGGAAAGGGGAACUUGGGAGGUACCAGAAGAAUGUUACUGUUAAUUUCUGAGAAUUCAGAGAGAAGUGUGUUCUGUUUGCAUCUACCUAUCAACUCUAUCCCCAUUUGACAUCUCUUCCAUUUCAGUUUUGGACCCUUCCUCAAACCUCUCUGUGCUUAUCCCCCCCCCCCCACUUAGCUGCCUUUCUUUUCUCAUCCAGUUUUCUUCUAUAGCUCUACCUCCAAAAACAUUGCAAGAAGGAAAAAGCAAGGCAUCCUCACACAGUAUUCUACCCUCACCCCCAACAGCUCAAAGGUAGAGAGAUGGAGACCCUCAGGAAAUCUCAGCAUGACUUUUGCCUUUCCCCCUUCCUAACAAUGCUUGGAUGGGCCACACUCCUUCCACAACAGCCGUGUCCUUCAGGGGAAGCUGACUCAGCCCCCAAACAGGAGCGAACCUUACAUGCUCUGAGCCAAUCAGAGUUACUUCCCUUUUGCCACAGUUGACUGCUUCAGGUAACUCCUGCCCACACCAGUUAGCACACAGUAUUUCCAGACCACAGGAAUUGGUUCAGGAUUGUAUAGUUACUCAGAUGAGACUCCAGGAAAGGACUGCUGAGCUUAUGGAAAGGAUGCAUUUUCACCCUUCAGAGAACAUUAUCAAAAGGGACUCUCCAGAUUUGUAAGGAAGCAUUCAAUCCCCAGCGUUGUUGGCAGCUGUCUGUGACUGUGAAGCGGAGCCAGUUUUAGGAGGAAGCCAUCACCCUAAAAGUUGUAGGAGGUUCCUGCCCAGCCACAGAUCCAGGUUUAAAACCCUUUGAUCAGAAGGAAUUCAGCUGCUACCUCAGUGGAUGCUUCUCCAAUACAGUCUUGAAAAUCGCUUCAGUGCCACAGGUGUUAUUGCUGCUGAGCGUCUCCCAGGAGAGCUGGAGCCUUACAGUGCUGUAGCGAAUAGAGUGAAGCGACAGCAUAGUUCUGUUAAGGAAACAUGAAGAGCGUAGGCCAGCCCUCAUUCUGCAUUGCUGGUCCUAUUGAUUCAGGUUCUCAGAGAAACAUCCAACAGGCUCUGAACAGCUGCAGGCUGGAAACAGACGUCUGUCCUGGGAGGCCCAGACCUUCACUGGAGAAAUGAGUUCUCUACCCAGUUCAGCCACGUGAGUCAAAUGCUCAGAGAAGCAAAGCUGCUCCCUUUAAUAAACUUGGGUCCUUGGGAUGGCAGGUGCCUUGCAGGUGACAGCAACUGGCUUGAAGUUUCUGUUCAAUGUUGAUGUCCUCUGAGGCAGAAGAAUCCAAGAGGACUGACCUGCUCACGUGUGCCGUGCACCAGGAGGAAAAAAUGGCAGUGAAAAUGCUCCUGAGCAGAAGGACUAAAACAAGCAGAUGGAAAGGAAAAGAAGGAAAAGGAAGCGCACUGGUGCAGGAGGGUGGGGACACACACCUUCUGAAAUACGACACAUCAGACUGGCCCUCGGAGACUCCCUCAGGCCCUGGUACGCAUCAGGAAAAGCGGGCCCUCCCGGCAUCUAGAGGCCCUGUUGCCUCGACCCCGUGCUGCACACCCGUGGCGAUGCUCGCCUGGAGCUUCUCCCUUCUUCCAAGUGGCAACUCUGAGGAGUGCAUGUCCCUGGGGUAAAGGAGAAGGCCACGUGCUAUCCUGGGCCCAGGAACCCCUGGCUCACUUUGCGGUUUUCACAGCAUUCUCACGAGACUGGAUCACAUCUCAGUCUCAUAAUUACAGCUCUCUUACGGCUGCUGGAAUCAGCCCCCAAAUUUCCACAGAUCUAUUUUCUUUUCUUUCUUUCUUUUUUUGAGACAGAGUCUCAAGCUUACACCCUGGGUAGAGUGCCAUGGCAUCAUGAUAGCUCACAACAACCUCCAACUCUUGGGCUCAAGCAAUCCUCUUGCCUCAGUUUUUCUAUUAUUAGUAGAAACAGUCUCGCUCUUGCUCAGGCUGCUUUGGACUCCUGAGCUCAAGCAAUCCACCCACAUUGGCCUCUCAGAGUGCUGGGAUUACAGGCGUGAGCCACCGUGCCUGGCCACCAUGGAUCUAUUUUCCUCAUUGAGAGAACAAAAUCUGUUCCCAGGCCCCACCACGCAGUAGGUACAAAUGAGGCCACAGAACAACUCAAACUUCACAGGCUCUUGUCGUCAUGGCUACAACCCGGCAAGCUCACCUGAAAAUCUGGCUUGGGCCUUAUUGCCUUUGUCAGCAUCAUCAUUUCCAGUUCUCCUUCAGUUCCCUUCUUUUAGUGUAAAGAGUCUAUGAUUUUAUGAGAUUGACAAGGAGGGCCGUAGAACCUCCAGUGCAGUUGUUUUGUUUGUUUUUAACUCUUCCUUAUGGAACAUUUUAAACAUGUACCAAAGAACAGAGGAGAGAUAAUGAACUCUCACUUACCCAUUACUUUAACAAUGAUCUGCUCAGGCCAAUUUGUGUCUCAUCUACGCUUCCAUGUACUGGAUACCUCUGGAUUAUUUUGAAGCAAUUCCUUAAAUCUUUUAGAGUAUACCUCAAGAAGACA
Nycticebus coucang (slow loris) is the source of this 6985-nucleotide RNA transcript. It is a transcript of the gene named INTS3 and NABP interacting protein, with no coding region annotated. The transcript is spliced from 8 exons. NCBI's taxonomy places the organism in Eukaryota, Metazoa, Chordata, Mammalia, Primates, Lorisidae. The record is from RefSeq and is a predicted model, not a curated record.